CCCUGUCUGCCCACGGAACACGAGGCGCGGGCUCCCCGCGUGGCCCUUUCUCGCGGCCCUCCCCCGCGGUGGGCGGGGCUGGCAGGUGUGCCUCGUAAGGGUCCGCCCAGUCCCCCGCGUGACCCGCCGGCUCCGAGGCCUCCGUUUCGCCGUUUUCACUACAGCGUUUCGAUGUCACAGGAUCUGGCGGGGCCGCUGGUGGUUAGAGCCGCCUGAGGUCCCCCCCGGGAGCACCGUGUGGCCCCUCGUGGAGGACACCCGUGAUGGGACCAGGGCCUACCCUCCUCCUCCCGCAUAAUCUCAUCUUAACCUGAUCACCUCUGCAAAGACCCUGUUUCCAGACACAGUCACAUUCACAGGGAGAUGGGCCGGCCACGGCUCCUGUCCCCGGGGAUGAUGACAGGAGCCAGGAGAGCCAGGGUUCAGGCUGGUGACAGCCAGGGGUGACAGGCUUCGGCUCUACCGAAGCUUCGGUACUGACCGCGUGACUCCGGGUUGUCCCUGCCAGCUGCCCAUGAGCACCCUUAAGACAGAUGCCCGUCCUGGGUGCCUGGGCGGCUCCGUCGAUUAAGCGUCCGACUUCAGCUUGGGUCAUGACCUCACGGUUUGUGAGUUUGAGCCCCGUGUCGGACUCUGUGCUGAAAGCUGGGAGCCUGGAGCCUGCUUCAGAUUCUGUGUCUCCCCGUCUCUCGGCCCCUCCCCUGCUCAUGCUCUGUCUCUCAGUAAUAAAUAAAUGUUAAAAAAAAAAAAAAAGAUGCCUGUCCACUGAUGGGGUCCAUCCACACGACGGAGUAGCACCUGGCCUGCAGCUGUGACAUGCUGUGUCGCCGAUAAACCUGGAAACAUGAGUGAAGGAAGCCGGGCACAAAGGUCCCCAGCUGCUUGAUCUCACUUUCCUGAAACGUCCAGAGCAGGCAAACC
This is a long non-coding RNA of Acinonyx jubatus (cheetah), 921 nucleotides long. RefSeq lists it as uncharacterized. The transcript is spliced from 3 exons. Lineage: Eukaryota; Metazoa; Chordata; Mammalia; Carnivora; Felidae. The record is from RefSeq and is a predicted model, not a curated record.